AGUAACACGUGGGCAACCUGCCUGUAAGACUGGGAUAACUUCGGGAAACCGGAGCUAAUACCGGAUAAUCCUUUUCUACUCAUGUAGAAAAGCUGAAAGACGGUUUACGCUGUCACUUACAGAUGGGCCCGCGGCGCAUUAGCUAGUUGGUGAGGUAACGGCUCACCAAGGCGACGAUGCGUAGCCGACCUGAGAGGGUGAUCGGCCACACUGGGA
This 216-nucleotide ribosomal RNA is filed under the name Cytobacillus solani. RNAcentral's name for it is "Bacillus solani partial 16S ribosomal RNA". It matches the Rfam family "Bacterial small subunit ribosomal RNA", at positions 109 to 318 of the family's 1533-position model. Lineage: Bacteria; Bacillati; Bacillota; Bacilli; Caryophanales; Bacillaceae. The record is from RNAcentral.